AUUGAACGCUAGCGGGAUGCCUUACACAUGCAAGUCGAACGGAGUGGCGAACGGGUGAGUAAUGUAUCGGAACGUGCCCAGUAGCGGGGGAUAACUACGCGAAAGCGUAGCUAAUACCGAAUACUCAUGGAGCGGCCGAUAUCGGAUUAGCUAGUUGGUGGGGUAACGGCUAACCAAGGCGACGCUCCGUAGCUGGGUUGGAAGGACUACCGGCCACACUGGGACUUGGACACGGCCCAGACUCCUACGGGAGGCAGCAGGGUGGAAUUUUGGACAAUGGGGGAAACCCUGAUCCAGCCAUCCCGCGUGUGCGAUGAAGGCCUUCGGGUUGUAAAGCACUUUUGGCAGGAAAGCGGUACCUGCAGAAUAAGCACCGGCUAACUACGUGCCAGCAGCCGCGGUAAUUC
RNAcentral lists this ribosomal RNA (407 nucleotides) under uncultured bacterium. Its description in RNAcentral is "partial 16S ribosomal RNA". It matches the Rfam family "Bacterial small subunit ribosomal RNA", at positions 30 to 526 of the family's 1533-position model. The record is from RNAcentral.